UUUUUUUUCAACUUCAGAUACUUUAUUUCACUAUAAUAGUUGUUAACAAAUCCCCUUAAUGUUACAACAAUGGCACUAAGGUUCUGCCCUGUAUGGUUAAUUACCAAUAAAACCAGGGGAUUUCAUUGGCAAACUUUUUAUAAUUCUACAUAGUAUUGCGUGUUAGUUACAAUUUACAGAGUAAUAGCUGUCUACAACAUGUGUGCAUUACUUUACUUAACAAUGAAAAAGAAAACGGAACUUUGACCGUUUUUUGUUUAGCUUUUAGUUUCUGAUUAAUCGAAAGUGAGAGAGCAUGGUUUCGAUCAGAUCAAGAGGUCAGUAUAAUCGAAUUAUGAUUGUUUUUUAGAUAGUAUCUUAGCAUUCAAAUACAC
This 374-nucleotide long non-coding RNA is filed under the name Mytilus galloprovincialis (Mediterranean mussel). The record is from RNAcentral. Lineage: Eukaryota; Metazoa; Mollusca; Bivalvia; Mytilida; Mytilidae.